UGGGGAAUAUUGCACAAUGGGCGCAAGCCUGAUGCAGCCAUGCCGCGUGUGUGAAGAAGGCCUUCGGUUGUAAAGCACUUUCAGCGAGGAGGAAGGUGGUGAGCUUAAUACGCUCAUCAAUUGACGUUACUCGCAGAAGAAGCACCGGCUAACUCCGUGCCAGCAGCCGCGGUAAUACGGAGGGUGCAAGCGUUAAUCGGAAUUACUGGGCGUAAAGCGCACGCAGGCGGUUUGUUAAGUCAGAUGUGAAAUCCCCGGGCUCAACCUGGGAACUGCAUUUGAAACUGGCAAGCUAGAGUCUCGUAGAGGGGGGUAGAAUUCCAGGUGUAGCGGUGAAAUGCGUAGAGAUCUGGAGGAAUACCGGUGGCGAAGGCGGCCCCCUGGACGAAGACUGACGCUCAGGUGCGAAA
RNAcentral lists this ribosomal RNA (410 nucleotides) under uncultured bacterium. Its description in RNAcentral is "partial 16S ribosomal RNA". It matches the Rfam family "Bacterial small subunit ribosomal RNA", at positions 355 to 758 of the family's 1533-position model. The record is from RNAcentral.